UACGGAGGGUGCAAACGUUGCUCGGAAUCAUUGGGCGUAAAGCGCACGUAGGCGGUCCAGCAAGUCGGGUGUGAAAGCCCUGGGCUUAACCCAGGAAGUGCAUUCGAAACUGCUGGACUUGAAUACUGGAGAGGGUCGCGGAAUUCCCGGUGUAGAGGUGAAAUGCGCAGAUAUCAGGAGGAACACCGGUGGCGAAGGCGGAUCUCUGGGCCUUACCUGACGCUCAGGCGCGAAAGCUAGGGGAGCGAACAGG
This 253-nucleotide ribosomal RNA is filed under the name uncultured bacterium. RNAcentral describes it as "partial 16S ribosomal RNA". It matches the Rfam family "Bacterial small subunit ribosomal RNA", at positions 524 to 776 of the family's 1533-position model. The record is from RNAcentral.